CGUCGCGACGCAGAGAGAGAGAGAGAGAAAGCAACACAAAUUUUUACUUCUCCCUGCUCCUUCUCUCUCUUUCUUUCUCACUCACAACCGGGGUACGAACGAAGACUUCACUUUGGUCUUCAACCUCCCCAAAGUCCUUCCCAACCGAAAUUCAAAGCCCCCUUCCAGGCUUCCCCUCUCAAUUAGGGUUAGGGUUUCCCAAACUCCGCCAAGCUGGAUAGGUACAGAGUAGACCGCUAUGGCCACAACAACAACGACGACGCCCCUGACUACCGUCGUCCCUCUCUCUUCUCCGACGCCCCCGUCAACCCUCAGCCCCACCUCCCUCGCCGCAGCCCCCCUAACUACCGCGGCGCCGGCGCCGCCCGUGGCUUCGACAGUCCGCCUCUUCACUCUCCCGCAGGAGG
This 407-nucleotide long non-coding RNA is filed under the name Rosa chinensis. RNAcentral describes it as "sRNA RchiOBHm_Chr4g0425831". Lineage: Eukaryota; Viridiplantae; Streptophyta; Magnoliopsida; Rosales; Rosaceae. The record is from RNAcentral.